GGUGAAAAGCACCCCGGAAGGGGAGUGAAAUAGAACCUGAAACCGUGUGCUUACAAGUAGUCAGAGCCCGUUAAUGGGUGAUGGCGUGCCUUUUGUAGAAUGAACCGGCGAGUUACGAUUUGAUGCAAGGUUAAGCAGUAAAUGUGGAGCCGUAGCGAAAGCGAGUCUGAAUAGGGCGUUUAGUAUUUGGUCGUAGACCCGAAACCAGGUGAUCUACCCUUGGUCAGGUUGAAGUUCAGGUAACACUGAAUGGAGGACCGAACCGACUUACGUUGAAAAGUGAGCGGAUGAACUGAGGGUAGCGGAGAAAUUCCAAUCGAACCUGGAGAUAGCUGGUUCUCUCCGAAAUAGCUUUAGGGCUAGCCUCAAGUGAUGAUUAUUGGAGGUA
This 388-nucleotide ribosomal RNA is filed under the name Staphylococcus aureus. RNAcentral's name for it is "partial 23S ribosomal RNA". It matches the Rfam family "Bacterial large subunit ribosomal RNA", at positions 513 to 904 of the family's 2925-position model. The record is from RNAcentral. Lineage: Bacteria; Bacillati; Bacillota; Bacilli; Caryophanales; Staphylococcaceae.